Molecule: ribosomal RNA, 399 nt
Filed under: uncultured bacterium
Lineage: Bacteria
Description: bacterial SSU rRNA
Rfam family: Bacterial small subunit ribosomal RNA
Source: RNAcentral
GGGGAAUAUUGCACAAUGGGGGAAACCCUGAUGCAGCGACGCCGCGUGAGCGAAGAAGGCCUUCGGGUCGUAAAGCUCUGUCCUAAGGGAAGAAACGGACGGUACCUUAGGAGGAAGCCCCGGCUAACUACGUGCCAGCAGCCGCGGUAAUACGUAGGGGGCGAGCGUUAUCCGGAAUUAUUGGGCGUAAAGGGUGCGUAGGCGGCCUUUUAAGUCAGAUGUGAAAGGCUACGGCUUAACCGUAGUUAGCAUUUGAAACUAAAAGGCUUGAGUGCAGGAGAGGAGAGUGGAAUUCCUAGUGUAGCGGUGAAAUGCGUAGAUAUUAGGAGGAACACCAGUGGCGAAGGCGACUCUCUGGACUGCAACUGACGCUGAGGCACGAAAGCGUGGGGAGCGAAC